AAAGCAAUUGCGUGCACUGAGGCUAGUUGGUAAAAGCCAGUUGGUUGCGCGUGAAAUGUGGCGUCCAUGUGGAGCUAGACGGCAUCAAGCAAUGCAGGCAAUGAACCCACGUUGACGAAAAAUAAGGCCUCUCCGUCCCCCGAAGUGACUCUACCGAAGAAGAACUGAUUUAUGCCAUUUAAAUCCAUUCUGAAAAAAUGGAACAUAAAAAUAAAGCACCUCGAAGUGUUGUGCAUUCUGUGGAAUUUCUGGAGUAUUCUGUUGACGAGCCCGGUACAUGGUACUCCGAAUUGAGCAAAACUGACCUGGUGCACGGCCUGGAAAUCUUAGAACGUCAAACUAUAAAAUUAAGCAGAAUGAUGUGUUCGUAUUGGCAGCUUGUAGGCGGCACCAUUCUGUGAAUUGGUACUUUGUCAUCAGUGACAGAUCGCUGUCGUGGUUGUGGUGACCGCUGGCCGUAAAAACGCCGUGUUCACUUUUCGUCAGAUUCGCUCGGCAUCUUCUUGCUGUGUAGCGGCAGCA
Daphnia pulicaria is the source of this 522-nucleotide long non-coding RNA. RefSeq lists it as uncharacterized. The record is from RefSeq and is a predicted model, not a curated record. The transcript is spliced from 3 exons. NCBI's taxonomy places the organism in Eukaryota, Metazoa, Arthropoda, Branchiopoda, Diplostraca, Daphniidae.